Molecule: ribosomal RNA, 483 nt
Filed under: uncultured Oxalobacteraceae bacterium
Lineage: Bacteria; Pseudomonadati; Pseudomonadota; Betaproteobacteria; Burkholderiales; Oxalobacteraceae
Description: bacterial SSU rRNA
Rfam family: Bacterial small subunit ribosomal RNA
Source: RNAcentral
GCGAGUGGCGAACGGGUGAGUAAUAUAUCGGAACGUACCCUGGAGUGGGGGAUAACGCAGCGAAAGUUGCGCUAAUACCGCAUACGAUCUACGGAUGAAAGUGGGGGAUCCGCAAGGACCUCAUGCUCGUGGAGCGGCCGAUAUCUGAUUAGCUAGUUGGUGGGGUAAAGGCCUACCAAGGCAUCGAUCAGUAGCUGGUCUGAGAGGACGACCAGCCACACUGGAACUGAGACACGGUCCAGACUCCUACGGGAGGCAGCAGUGGGGAAUUUUGGACAAUGGGGGCAACCCUGAUCCAGCAAUGCCGCGUGAGUGAAGAAGGCCUUCGGGUUGUAAAGCUCUUUUGUCGGGGAAGAAACGGAUUGGUUUAAUACACUGAUCUAAUGACGGUACCCGAAGAAUAAGCACCGGCUAACUACGUGCCAGCAGCCGCGGUAAUACGUAGGGUGCAAGCGUUAAUCGGAAUUACUGGGCGUAAAGCGU